Molecule: ribosomal RNA, 427 nt
Filed under: uncultured bacterium
Lineage: Bacteria
Description: partial 16S ribosomal RNA
Rfam family: Bacterial small subunit ribosomal RNA
Source: RNAcentral
UGGGGAAUAUUGCACAAUGGGCGCAAGCCUGAUGCAGCCAUGCCGCGUGUAUGAAGAAGGCCUUCGGGUUGUAAAGUACUUUCAGCGGGGAGGAAGGUGUUGAGGUUAAUAACCUCAGCAAUUGACGUUACCCGCAGAAGAAGCACCGGCUAACUCCGUGCCAGCAGCCGCGGUAAUACGGAGGGUGCAAGCGUUAAUCGGAAUUACUGGGCGUAAAGCGCACGCAGGCGGGUUGUCAAGUCGGAUGUGAAAUCCCCGGGCUCAACCUGGGAACUGCAUUCGAAACUGGCAGGCUAGAGUCUUGUAGAGGGGGGUAGAAUUCCAGGUGUAGCGGUGAAAUGCGUAGAGAUCUGGAGGAAUACCGGUGGCGAAGGCGGCCCCCUGGACAAAGACUGACGCUCAGGUGCGAAAGCGUGGGGAGCAAACA